GAGGUGGGGCAAUGGGUCCGCGCGCCUGGCUGCUAACCAGAAGGCUGUUGGUUCAAGCCCACCCAGGGAUG
Molecule: non-coding RNA, 71 nt
Organism: Podarcis lilfordi (Lilford's wall lizard)
Lineage: Eukaryota; Metazoa; Chordata; Lepidosauria; Squamata; Lacertidae
Source: the annotation of a GenBank genome assembly